AGGCUUGUAGCUCAGGUGGUUAGAGCGCACCCCUGAUAAGGGUGAGGUCGGUGGUUCAAGUCCACCCAGGCCUACCA
RNAcentral lists this transfer RNA (77 nucleotides) under Escherichia coli. RNAcentral's name for it is "tRNA-Ile". It matches the Rfam family "tRNA". Rfam says of the family: Transfer RNA (tRNA) molecules are approximately 80 nucleotides in length. RNAcentral also lists the same sequence under 2 other names. Lineage: Bacteria; Pseudomonadati; Pseudomonadota; Gammaproteobacteria; Enterobacterales; Enterobacteriaceae. The record is from RNAcentral.